Molecule: long non-coding RNA, 796 nt
Organism: Lucilia sericata (common green bottle fly)
Lineage: Eukaryota; Metazoa; Arthropoda; Insecta; Diptera; Calliphoridae
Exons: 3
Source: RefSeq, a predicted model, not a curated record
UAAACAAUCAAAAAGGAUAUAAUUUACUAUUGAGAAAAAGGAUGCACUAAAUAAAGUGAAAUUAAUUGAGAAGAAAAUAAUGGAUUGAAGUGGAUCAAAGAAAUUUUUCAAUAAAGUGUUCCACAAUCUCUUCUGUAGAAAAGGACUUUUGAUGAUUUUUAAGAAAAUCCCUCAAAAUAUUAACACUGAUUUUAAUCUAAACAAUCUGCCGCUGUUCAAAAUUUUUUUUCGUGCUAUUAAAUAAUUGACAAUUUUUCCGUACAAUUUUUUGAUUGAUUGAUUACAUAUUUAUUACGAUGUUAGAAGAAAUCAUUAACAACAAUCUGUUAGAAUCUUUUAGUUGAAAUAUAUUGUUCGUUUUGGGUAAAAUUAACAGCAACAUUCCAUUAAAGAGGAGAAAUUAUACUGACGGUGUUUGCAAAAUUCCAAUCAAUUUUAAAAAAUUUCAACAACAUCAAUAUGUAAUUAUUGUGAAUAUGAAUCAAUUUGCCGCUAUUUUCGAAAUGUAAACACAAACAUGCAGCAGCUUGCCAAAAACCAGAAGGAGCAGCUAGCAAAAGAGUAGAGGAAAAAACACAAACAAAAACAUGUGUUUGGUUUUCGCUGUCUGCUAUUUUGUAGAGAGUUAUUAAAAACAAGAGUAUUUUUUACUAAGCUUGCUCUCUCUCUGGUUUCGUUAACUCUCUUUGGUUUUUUUUAUAGGGGGGCUAAAAAAAAUGCGUUGAGUUUUUUGUUCAUAGAAAACUUACGCAUAUUUUGUUUUUGUUCUUUUCAAUAAAAUUGAGUGUGAGUAAGA